This 690-nucleotide long non-coding RNA is filed under the name Elaeis guineensis (African oil palm). RNAcentral's name for it is "long non-coding RNA (EGUI_LNC005148)". The record is from RNAcentral. Lineage: Eukaryota; Viridiplantae; Streptophyta; Magnoliopsida; Arecales; Arecaceae.
CUCCGGUGAAACUUGAUCAAAUAGCACCCAACCAACCUCAACGUAACUGUUCGUUCGUGCAUUGAAUAUCUCAGCAUUUCCUCAGUUUUGAACGUUAGGGGGCAAAAUUUUGAUCCAAAAAUGAAAAAUAUUAGGGGGUCAAAUUGGGUAACAUAAACAAAUCUGACAUGGGGCAUUAUAGCUUGAAUCUGUCCUUCUACUUUGUGUUGCCUAUAGCAUCAUCUAUCCCCUACCAAACUGGAUCAUCUGGAGCAAACAUCAUGGAUGCAUAGCCAAAAUUCACUACAUCGGAUAUUUCAUGAGAGCUGCACAACAGAAGUUGACAACAUCAAUCCAUAGAUAUUACUAUCAAUUGCAAAAUCACAAUCAAUUAUUCACACCUAGGAGUUCAGUUAUACACCUGGGUUAAACUGAAUAUGGGGUCGCAGCAUAACAGUUAAUCUUGAAUUCCACUCCAGUGAGCUCUCAAGAUCAGUAAAUGGGUGUCAACCUAGUCCCAGCCCAUCCAAGUAAAAUGGUUAACAACCAACACCUUUCACAGCAUAAAAGCUUUCGGUAUCAGGCCUGCUUUUAUCUGCUUAUAUGGAGGUGCAAUCCCAUUUUGUCUAAUUCUAGUUGUUACUCUCUGUUUUAACUGACCAAAAUUAUCCAGUCAGCCUACUUAGAUCAACAUUGCACUAGCUAACAGGG